This 90-nucleotide transfer RNA is filed under the name Stachybotrys chartarum IBT 40293. RNAcentral describes it as "tRNA-Asp (ATC) (tRNA-Asp-ATC-1-1)". RNAcentral also lists the same sequence under 1 other name. Lineage: Eukaryota; Fungi; Ascomycota; Sordariomycetes; Hypocreales; Stachybotryaceae. The record is from RNAcentral.
GCCAAACUGGUGUAACUGGUAGCACAGUCGGGUAUCAUCUGCUAGGCCCUUCGGGGGGCGACGGUCUUGGUUCGAGUCCAAGGUUUGGAA